ACAUGGCAGAAGGGGUGAAUGAGUUCCCAUGGACCGCUUUCCCCAUAGGCACAGCUGCGCAGAAAGCUCCUGGCUCAUGGCAUGAGAGAGGAGGAUCGAAUCUACAGACACUGUGAAAGCAGGUGACUCCAGAGGCCUUCAGGGAGAAAUGCACCAGUGCCACAGAGCUGUGGAUGCCAUGCAGUACAAGAGCUGACUGCUCAGGCUCUUUACCUUCGGAGCUUUGGACCCCAGAUCACAUUGACCAUGGCCCUUCUCCAUGAAUCUGUGCCUCUGAGAGAUGACAGCAAGGAGGAUGUGAUGACACGUUUCUCCCUAUGACCCGCAAGGCUGACUUCCCGGGAAAAUCAGUGUGCAGCCAGGUCCCACUGGACUUGCUUCUCAACCCUGGCAGUAUAUUUGAAGAAAAACAUUGGAACUGUUGCCCUCUGCCGUGCCACCCUGCCUUGCAGCCGGCUGAUUUCGGACUGAGACCUCUGUGAACCGUGAGCUAGAUCACCCUCCUCUCCUUUACAUUUGGGUGUCCAGUACUGGUCUCAGCAGUGAGAAAAGCAGCAAGACAUGCCCCUCUGCUGAGGAAAGCCUGUCCACGGCGCCUGUUCAAGGCAUCGCGAUCCUACUAAGCCCUUCGCUGUGAGUUUUCUAUCAGGCUCUUCUUUGCCUUUUUCUGUUACUUCUUCUUCAGCCCGGCAUUCCUGCUCCGGUCCCCGCCUCUCCCGCUUCCUCCGCUCCCAGGAACCCUCUCCCCGCUGCUCGGUGGUGCCCCGCACACAGGUGGGGGUGCUGCCAUUCACCAUAGCUGUGCUCGUUUUGCUGCCUCUCCUCCGCCCUGGCCAGUCGUCUGGAGCCGCAGGUGAGCCUUCUGGAACCGUCCUCCGGGCGUCCCUCGCACGCUGCUUGGUGAUGUCCCCUCCAGCCCAGCAAGGUUUCCCACACAAUCGCAGAUGCGGUGACUCCCCCAGAACCCGCAGCUUCCCGCCACCACGCCCGUCUCCUGGGCGAGGCCGUCCUCGGGUCAUCCGCCUUAAAACCUGCCGGAUUUCUUGGAUUUUACUGAUUGGAUCAAGGAGGUGGUUUUGAAGAAAGAAUUACACCUUUGUUACUGGAAUGAAGAUCACCAGUGAAAGGAGAAUACACAAGAGCAUUACCAACAUAAGCAAAAUAUUGAAAAAUAGACUGUUCUCCAAAAGCACUUCUCUGUUCCGCAGAUAAAGCCAUUCGGGAGGGCAUCUCGGGGGGAUCGGGUCACACGGGCCCUGUCCCUGCUCAGUGGCACUGUGUGUGUGUGUGUGUGUGUGUGUGUGUGUGUGUGUUGCUGUGCUUGCGGGACCUGGGGUUCUCACAGUGCCGGGUCACACGCUGUUUCGAUUCCUAUCUCAGCAUUGCUCCCAGGCAAGACUCUUUGCUUGAUUCUAAAAGCCUCGAAACCUGGCGUUUGCUCGGGCUCCUUCUAGAUGAAAGCCCUUCAGUCAUCUUUUGUUUCAAAAUAGGAAGGGUCCAUUCACAUUGAAGAUUCACCAUAGCAAGCAAAUGUCCUCCGCAACCAGCUUAUCUGGAGUUUCCAAAACUCCUUCAGCUGCUUUCACAUCAGCGCGGGCAGACUUGGUCCUCGCACUCACACCGUGCGAGGAAUCAUUAUUCCAGACUCCUGUAAGCCUCCCGGUGCUAGCAGCAGACCCCCACAUCCCAGCUGGGUCUAGCCUUUUCUCUCAGCAUCGCAAAGUUUUUGCUUAGCAGUGAUGGUCUUGGCGCUAAGAGGAAUUCAUUCCUGUGCUUAUCUUCGGCCCAGGUCGGCAGAAGUUUCUCCCCGCGGGGUCUUCUCAAAUCCAGUUGGUGUCAUAGCCCCCAGUGACGCAGGCUUUGAUGGCUUCCACUGCCUUCUCCCCCCUCUUCAAGACUGCAGCUACCAGGUGUGAUUGUAUUAUACGCUGAGUCUCUAAGUAAAGACGUUUAUUACAGCGCAAGAAACAUUGCCAUCAAUCACCCACAAAGUACCCCGCCCCGCAUCUAACACACUUCACCACGUUCUUGGCACUCUGAAGCCGUUCUGAGUCAGCUUUCAUGAGUGUGUCAACAAGCUGUGAUCAAAUAUCCGGUGAAGGCUGCUGCCGAGCUCCACGCAAAGGCAAAGCGCCUCGUAAAAGCACGAGGUGUCCUCAUCACCUCGCCCAACAGAUUCGGGGCCACGAGACUCGCGGCCCUCCCACAAAGGCGAAAUAACUACAACAGGCAAACGCUUUGAGUCCAUUCAGGACAUCGAGGCAGCCACCACAGCACCACUGAGCCACCACAGCACCACUGAAGAUGAUCAUGAAAGAGGGCGGCCCAGAACUGUUCCGGAAACCCCAAGAACGUGGGGUGAGUGUGUCUGCAGCAGGGCGCUUCGAGGAGGAUUAAUGGCAAUGUUUCUUUUACCGUAAUAAUUUUUAGUUUAUACAUUUGCCAUGUUUUGAUCACACCUGCCUGGGUGGAAUGGGACAUACCUGGCUAGAGGGUAAU
Chinchilla lanigera (long-tailed chinchilla) is the source of this 2499-nucleotide long non-coding RNA. RefSeq lists it as uncharacterized. The record is from RefSeq and is a predicted model, not a curated record. The transcript is spliced from 4 exons. Lineage: Eukaryota; Metazoa; Chordata; Mammalia; Rodentia; Chinchillidae.